This 421-nucleotide ribosomal RNA is filed under the name Caecilia sp. RNAcentral's name for it is "partial 16S ribosomal RNA". It matches the Rfam family "Bacterial large subunit ribosomal RNA", at positions 1970 to 2581 of the family's 2925-position model. Lineage: Eukaryota; Metazoa; Chordata; Amphibia; Gymnophiona; Caeciliidae. The record is from RNAcentral.
UGUUUUUUAAAUAAAGACCUGUAUGAAAGGCAAGACGAAAGCUUAACUGUCUCCUUUGUCUAGUCUACGAACCUGAUCUCCCUGUAAAAAAGCAGGGAUACGCCCGUAAGACGAGAAGACCCUAUGGAGCUUAAGAUAAACAGACAACUUUACCACUCACCCACAGUAAAACCUGCCUUACUAUCUUCAGUUGGGGCGACUACGGAGCACACAAACCCUCCGCGAACUAUAUACUAAACAACACAAAUUGACGCAUUAAAACAUUAAAACAAUUGACCCAAUAACUUGAUCAACGAACCAAGCUACCCUAGGGAUAACAGCGCAAUCCUCUUUUAGAGUCCUUAUCGGCGAGAAGGUUUACGACCUCGAUGUUGGAUCAGGGUAUUCCAGGCAUGCAGCCGUUGUCAUAGGUUUGUUUGUU